AGUAUUUUGACUAUACAAAGGUAUUGAAAUAAGACUUUAAUUGAGUGCUAAGAGAAUGGAAUUUCAUAAAAUUUCUUUUUUAAUUUUAAAAAUUGAAAUUAAUUUUAUAUGUGAAGAAACAAUAAUAAAAAUUAAGGACAAGAAGACCCUAAGAAUUUUAAAAAUUUCAAUAUAAUAUUAUAUUAUAUUGAAAUUUUUUAAUUGGGGCGAUUAUUAAAUAUUAAAAACUUUAAUUUUUUUAAAAAAGAACCAAUAUUAUUGGUUAUUUGAGAAAAUACUCUAGGGAUAACAGCGUAAUAAUUUUUGAUAGUUCUUAUAGACAAAAUAGUUUGCGACCUCGAUGUUGGAUUAGGAUUCUUUUUUAAUGAAGAAGUUAAAAAAAGAAGUUUGUUCAACUUUUAAAAUCCUA
This 409-nucleotide ribosomal RNA is filed under the name Amblyomma maculatum (Gulf Coast tick). RNAcentral describes it as "partial 16S ribosomal RNA". The record is from RNAcentral. Lineage: Eukaryota; Metazoa; Arthropoda; Arachnida; Ixodida; Ixodidae.